GGGUGGUUAGCUCAGCUGGUUAGAGUACCUGCGUGACAUGCAGGGGGUCGGUGGUUCGAUCCCACUACCACCCACCA
RNAcentral lists this transfer RNA (77 nucleotides) under Clostridiaceae bacterium. RNAcentral describes it as "tRNA-Val". It matches the Rfam family "tRNA". From Rfam's summary of the family: Transfer RNA (tRNA) molecules are approximately 80 nucleotides in length. Their secondary structure includes four short double-helical elements and three loops (D, anti-codon, and T loops). The record is from RNAcentral. Lineage: Bacteria; Bacillati; Bacillota; Clostridia; Eubacteriales; Clostridiaceae.